UACGGAGGGAGCUAGCGUUGUUCGGAAUUACUGGGCGUAAAGCGCACGUAGGCGGCUCAGCAAGUCAGGGGUGAAAUCCCGGGGCUCAACCCCGGAACUGCCCUUGAAACUGCUAAGCUAGAAUCCUGGAGAGGCGAGUGGAAUUCCGAGUGUAGAGGUGAAAUUCGUAGAUAUUCGGAAGAACACCAGUGGCGAAGGCGACUCGCUGGACAGGUAUUGACGCUGAGGUGCGAAAGCCAGGGGAGCAAACGGG
RNAcentral lists this ribosomal RNA (253 nucleotides) under uncultured bacterium. RNAcentral describes it as "partial 16S ribosomal RNA". It matches the Rfam family "Bacterial small subunit ribosomal RNA", at positions 524 to 776 of the family's 1533-position model. The record is from RNAcentral.